UUCUAUAAAUAGAAGCUCAUUCCUUCAUUAUUUCUUACGAAUUCACUAAAACUCUAGAUAGAGAAACUGUGGAGAGAAUUAUUCUUCUAUAAUCUUGAGCGUAUUUCUUUAGCGUUUAAGAAAGCUUUGAGCGUAGUGCAAGUUUCUUCAAGUAUAUCCCCGUCCUACCAUCGGAGUACUCUUCUUUAUAAGGUAAGGGGUAU
RNAcentral lists this long non-coding RNA (203 nucleotides) under Panax ginseng (ginseng). Its description in RNAcentral is "long non-coding RNA (PGIN_LNC014934)". The record is from RNAcentral. Lineage: Eukaryota; Viridiplantae; Streptophyta; Magnoliopsida; Apiales; Araliaceae.